This 797-nucleotide ribosomal RNA is filed under the name Streptomyces violascens. Its description in RNAcentral is "bacterial SSU rRNA". It matches the Rfam family "Bacterial small subunit ribosomal RNA", at positions 56 to 866 of the family's 1533-position model. Lineage: Bacteria; Bacillati; Actinomycetota; Actinomycetes; Kitasatosporales; Streptomycetaceae. The record is from RNAcentral.
UGCAAGUCGAACGAUGAACCGCUUUCGGGCGGGGAUUAGUGGCGAACGGGUGAGUAACACGUGGGCAAUCUGCCCUGCACUCUGGGACAAGCCCUGGAAACGGGGUCUAAUACCGGAUAUGACUGUCCGCCGCAUGGUGGAUGGUGUAAAGCUCCGGCGGUGCAGGAUGAGCCCGCGGCCUAUCAGCUUGUUGGUGAGGUAGUGGCUCACCAAGGCGACGACGGGUAGCCGGCCUGAGAGGGCGACCGGCCACACUGGGACUGAGACACGGCCCAGACUCCUACGGGAGGCAGCAGUGGGGAAUAUUGCACAAUGGGCGAAAGCCUGAUGCAGCGACGCCGCGUGAGGGAUGACGGCCUUCGGGUUGUAAACCUCUUUCAGCAGGGAAGAAGCGAGAGUGACGGUACCUGCAGAAGAAGCGCCGGCUAACUACGUGCCAGCAGCCGCGGUAAUACGUAGGGCGCAAGCGUUGUCCGGAAUUAUUGGGCGUAAAGAGCUCGUAGGCGGCUUGUCACGUCGGUUGUGAAAGCCCGGGGCUUAACCCCGGGUCUGCAGUCGAUACGGGCAGGCUAGAGUUCGGUAGGGGAGAUCGGAAUUCCUGGUGUAGCGGUGAAAUGCGCAGAUAUCAGGAGGAACACCGGUGGCGAAGGCGGAUCUCUGGGCCGAUACUGACGCUGAGGAGCGAAAGCGUGGGGAGCGAACAGGAUUAGAUACCCUGGUAGUCCACGCCGUAAACGGUGGGCACUAGGUGUGGGCAACAUUCCACGUUGUCCGUGCCGCAGCUAACGCAUUAAGUG